This 214-nucleotide long non-coding RNA is filed under the name Mytilus galloprovincialis (Mediterranean mussel). The record is from RNAcentral. Lineage: Eukaryota; Metazoa; Mollusca; Bivalvia; Mytilida; Mytilidae.
CGGCCAUCUUGGAUGGUUGGCCGGAUCACCGGACACAUUUUUUAAACUAGAUACCCCAAUGAUGAUUGUGGCCAAGUUUGGUUUAAUUUGGCCCAGUAGUUUCAGAGGAGAAGAUUUUUGUAAAAGUUAACGACGACGACGGACGACGCCGGACGCCGGACGCCAAGUGAUGAGAAAAGCUGACUUGGCCUUUUAGGCCAGGUGAGCUAAAAAU